GACGAAGGAUGCAAGCGUUAUCCGGAUUCAUUGGGUUUAAAGGGUGCGUAGGCGGCCCUGUAAGUCAGUGCUGAAAUACCCCGGCUUAACCGGGGGGGUGGCAUUGAUACUGCAGGGCUUGAGUACAGAUGAGGUAGGCGGAAUUGACGGUGUAGCGGUGAAAUGCAUAGAUAUCGUCAAGAACACCGAUAGCGAAGGCAGCUUACUGGGCUGUAACUGACGCUGAUGCACGAAAGUGUGGGGAUCAAACAGG
This 253-nucleotide ribosomal RNA is filed under the name uncultured bacterium. RNAcentral's name for it is "partial 16S ribosomal RNA". It matches the Rfam family "Bacterial small subunit ribosomal RNA", at positions 524 to 776 of the family's 1533-position model. The record is from RNAcentral.